UGAUAUUCGUCAUUUAUGUCCAUCCUAUUUUUUUGUCCAUCCUUUCUUAAACAUCUUGAAAUAAAUGAUGCUAAUUAAUAAUAAACUUUUGGCUCGAAAAAAAAAUCAAAUUUGUCUAAUUAUCGUUUAAAUAUUUUAUUAAUAUUGUAUAAGAAGCUUUCAAUUGAUAUCAUAGUUUAAUUUUUAUUAGUUUUUUUUGUUAAUUUUAGAGUUUUUUGUAUUUAAGAUUUUUUUCUAUAUUAAGCUUAUAUUUCUU
This 256-nucleotide long non-coding RNA is filed under the name Brassica rapa (field mustard). Its description in RNAcentral is "long non-coding RNA (BRAP_LNC004162)". Lineage: Eukaryota; Viridiplantae; Streptophyta; Magnoliopsida; Brassicales; Brassicaceae. The record is from RNAcentral.